AUACGAAGGGGGCUAGCGUUGUUCGGAAUCACUGGGCGUAAAGCGCACGUAGGCGGAUCUUUAAGUCAGGGGUGAAAUCCCGAGGCUCAACCUCGGAACUGCCUUUGAUACUGGGGAUCUCGAGUCCGGGAGAGGUGAGUGGAACUGCGAGUGUAGAGGUGAAAUUCGUAGAUAUUCGCAAGAACACCAGUGGCGAAGGCGGCUCACUGGCCCGAUACUGACGCUGAGGCACGAAAGCGUGGGGAGCAAACAGGA
This 255-nucleotide ribosomal RNA is filed under the name uncultured prokaryote. RNAcentral's name for it is "partial 16S ribosomal RNA". It matches the Rfam family "Bacterial small subunit ribosomal RNA", at positions 523 to 777 of the family's 1533-position model. The record is from RNAcentral.